This 850-nucleotide unclassified non-coding RNA is filed under the name Hevea brasiliensis (rubber tree). Lineage: Eukaryota; Viridiplantae; Streptophyta; Magnoliopsida; Malpighiales; Euphorbiaceae. The record is from RNAcentral.
UUUUUUUAGAAAGUUAGGCUACAUUCCAUUAAUGGAUAAAAUAAUAAAGCCCCCAAUACAUAUAAAGCUGACUAAAGCCGGCUCUUUACCGAGAGACGCAAAAAGCAAAAGAAAACCAAUUCUAAAAGUCCUGUCCUUCUCUUAAAAAUGGAGCCCCAAAAUUCAAAAUAACCAACCCAUGAGAAACAAGCCAGGUCUCAUCUUCCUCGCAAAGCUUUGGAGUCCUAGCCGACACUAUCUCCACAAGCGUAGCAGACAGCCAUCACUAGAACCCAAACUAGAGAAAUCCUCAUACCAAUAGAUAAAAGGCAAACCGAUGCUCAGGCGAGGCUACAGAACCAGAUCUCCAACAUCAACGACGGCAUCGGCUAUCUCUUUUGCCUCAACAGGGACUAAUCUUAGUCAAGUUAGGAGCAAUAUGGUAGAGCUCUUCAGCAUCAGCUAUCAAGGACGAGAGGCUAACCAGUAGCAAGAGAGAGAGCCCACAGAGAUGCCAUCCCCACGAAAAUGAACCUCCUAACACAGAGCCUAAACUCAGCAAAUGAAACGGCUACCCAAAGGACAGACCCACCACCGCUGCACAAGAUAUCUAUAAACAUCGCAGGUUCCUCAAAAGACCCUCUACUUAUCAACAAGACCGGCAUACAACAAACGAAAAACAAAAAAGAGUAUAUACAACCCACCCAGAGGAGGGGAGGGCGACCCACAUCCAAGCAGGGAAAAGGAGAGCCGUCCCUUGCCCCUGCAACCGACGAAGAUCCCGACAAAAAACGAGACCGAGAUCCCAAAGACAAGUCUACUCGAAAGAAAAUUCGCUCCCUAAACUGUUAGAGAGAGAACCUUGUAAGGG